UGGGGAAUCUUGCACAAUGGGGGCAACCCUGAUGCAGCGACGCCGCGUGAGCGAUGAAGCCCUUCGGGGCGUAAAGCUCUUUCGACCGGAACGAUAAUGACGGUACCGGGAGAAGAAGCUGCGGCUAACUACGUGCCAGCAGCCGCGGUAAUACGUAGGCAGCAAGCGUUGUUCGGAGUUACUGGGCGUAAAGAGUGCGUAGGCGGUUUUCUAAGUUCGGUGUGAAAUCUCCCGGCUUAACUGGGAGGGUGCGCCGAAGACUGGGAAGCUGGAGUGUGGGAAAGGCAGGCGGAAUUCCUGGUGUAGCGGUGAAAUGCGUAGAUAUCAGGAGGAACACUGGCGGUGUAGACGGCUUGCUAGACCAUAACUGACGCUGAGGCACGAAAGCGUGGGUAGCAAACA
Molecule: ribosomal RNA, 402 nt
Filed under: uncultured bacterium
Lineage: Bacteria
Description: bacterial SSU rRNA
Rfam family: Bacterial small subunit ribosomal RNA
Source: RNAcentral